This 253-nucleotide ribosomal RNA is filed under the name uncultured bacterium. RNAcentral describes it as "partial 16S ribosomal RNA". It matches the Rfam family "Bacterial small subunit ribosomal RNA", at positions 524 to 776 of the family's 1533-position model. The record is from RNAcentral.
UACGUAGGUGGCAAGCGUUGUUCGGAAUUAUUGGGCGUAAAGGGCGCGUAGGCGGUCUUGUAAGUCAGCUGUGAAAGCCCGGGGCUCAACCCCGGAGGGUCGGCUGAUACUGCAGGACUGGAGUACGGAAGAGGUAGCUGGAAUUCCCGGUGUAGCGGUGAAAUGCGCAGAUAUCAGGAGGAACACCGAUGGCGAAGGCAGCUCGCUGGGACGGUACUGACGCUGAGGCGCGAAAGCGUGGGGAGCAAACAGG